CACCAGCGCACUGGCCAUGAUUCACCUUUUUCGUAGGACCAAGAGCAAUACCAAGUAGUAAGAUGAUGAACAAGAAAGAGAGGUGUGAACUUUAGCACAAAAAGAAAGAAGAGAACUGGGCUAACCUGAAGGACGAGACUUGAUUGCGGUUUUCAAGUACACAUGUGUGGCAACUGGAAGCCAAUGUCAAAGUAAGCUGACGACCAGCAAAGAGAGAUGUGAAAAUGUGGAGCUAGUGGAAAGAAUACUGUGGAAACCCGAUCUUAUAGCCAAGUCAAGUCUUCCUGUGCUAUUUUUUAAGCAUAUUGCCUUUUUGUAUUUAGCCUACGUUUUCAGAAUACCUGAGAACAGAAAUAAGCAGUUACUGACUUCCCAGAACGCGAUCCGAACAUCUCGCUGCGAAGUAGAUAUAUGAAUGGUUGCUAUGUAAGAAUAUUUAUGUGGCCAAUGUAAAUUAUAGUCUGAUUCUAAUUAAAAAAAUUAGUGUGAUGGAUGCUAA
Molecule: long non-coding RNA, 499 nt
Organism: Brachypodium distachyon (stiff brome)
Lineage: Eukaryota; Viridiplantae; Streptophyta; Magnoliopsida; Poales; Poaceae
Exons: 2
Source: RefSeq, a predicted model, not a curated record